GAUGAACGCUGGCGGCGUGCCUAAUACAUGCAAGUCGAGCGAACGGACGAGAAGCUUGCUUCUCUGAUGUUAGCGGCGGACGGGUGAGUAACACGUGGAUAACCUACCUAUAAGACUGGGAUAACUUCGGGAAACCGGAGCUAAUACCGGAUAAUAUUUUGAACCGCAUGGUUCAAAAGUGAAAGACGGUCUUGCUGUCACUUAUAGAUGGAUCCGCGCCGCAUUAGCUAGUUGGUAAGGUAACGGCUUACCAAGGCAACGAUGCAUAGCCGACCUGAGAGGGUGAUCGGCCACACUGGAACUGAGACGCGGUCCAGACUCCUACGGGAGGCAGCAGUAGGGAAUCUUCCGCAAUGGGCGAAAGCCUGACGGAGCAACGCCGCGUGAGUGAUGAAGGUCUUCGGAUCGUAAAACUCUGUUAUUAGGGAAGAACAUAUGUGUAAGUAACUGUGCACAUCUUGACGGUACCUAAUCAGAAAGCCACGGCUAACUACGUG
RNAcentral lists this ribosomal RNA (497 nucleotides) under uncultured bacterium. RNAcentral's name for it is "partial 16S ribosomal RNA". It matches the Rfam family "Bacterial small subunit ribosomal RNA", at positions 28 to 507 of the family's 1533-position model. The record is from RNAcentral.